This 254-nucleotide ribosomal RNA is filed under the name uncultured bacterium. Its description in RNAcentral is "partial 16S ribosomal RNA". It matches the Rfam family "Bacterial small subunit ribosomal RNA", at positions 524 to 776 of the family's 1533-position model. The record is from RNAcentral.
UACGUAGGGUGCAAGCGUUGUCCGGAAUUAUUGGGCGUAAAGAGCUCGUAGGCGGUCUGUCGCGUCUGCUGUGAAAACUCGGGGCUUAACCCCGGGCCUGCAGUGGGUACGGGCAGACUAGAGUGCGGUAGGGGAGACUGGAAUUCCUGGUGUAGCGGUGAAAUGCGCAGAUAUCAGGAGGAACACCGGUGGCGAAGGCGGGUCUCUGGGCCGAUACUGACGCUGAGGAGCGAAAGCCGUGGGGAGCGAACAGG